This 700-nucleotide ribosomal RNA is filed under the name uncultured bacterium. Its description in RNAcentral is "bacterial SSU rRNA". It matches the Rfam family "Bacterial small subunit ribosomal RNA", at positions 8 to 703 of the family's 1533-position model. The record is from RNAcentral.
AGAGUUUGAUCCUGGCUCAGGAUGAACGCUAGCGGCAGGCUUAACACAUGCAAGUCGAGGGGCAGCACGGGUAGCAAUACUUGGUGGCGACCGGCGCAAGGGUGCGUAACGCGUGAGCAACAUGCCCGUAUCAGGGGGAUAAUCCAGGGAAACUUGGUCUAAUACCCCAUAGUAAGUUUCAGAGGCAUCUUUGAGAUUUUAAAGCUUUGGUGGAUACGGAUUGGCUCGCGUGACAUUAGCUAGAUGGUAAGGUAACGGCUUACCAUGGCUACGAUGUCUAGGGGUUCUGAGAGGAAGGUCCCCCACACUGGAACUGAGACACGGUCCAGACUCCUACGGGAGGCAGCAGUGAGGAAUAUUGGACAAUGGAUGGAAAUCUGAUCCAGCCAUGCCGCGUGCAGGAAGACGGCCCUAUGGGUUGUAAACUGCUUUUGUAUGGGAGCAAUAAGAACUACGUGUAGUUUGACGAGAGUACCAUACGAAUAAGCACCGGCUAACUCCGUGCCAGCAGCCGCGGUAAUACGGAGGGUGCAAGCGUUAUCCGGAUUUAUUGGGUUUAAAGGGUGCGUAGGCGGUUUGAUAAGUCAGCGGUGAAAUAUUUCAGCUUAACUGGAAGGGUGCCGUUGAUACUGUCAGGCUUGAAUUUAGUUGCUGUGGGUGGAAUGUGUGGUGUAGCGGUGAAAUGCAUAGAUAUCACACA